RNAcentral lists this transfer RNA (126 nucleotides) under Escherichia coli. Its description in RNAcentral is "tRNA-Ser". The record is from RNAcentral. Lineage: Bacteria; Pseudomonadati; Pseudomonadota; Gammaproteobacteria; Enterobacterales; Enterobacteriaceae.
AGCCGCAAGGCGAGUAAUCCUCCCGGAUGCACCAUCUCUUACUUGAUANGGCUGAAGGCGCUCCCCUGCUAAGGGAGUAUGCGGUCAAAAGCUGCAUCCGGGGUUCGAAUCCCCGCCUCACCGCCA